This 279-nucleotide ribosomal RNA is filed under the name uncultured archaeon. RNAcentral describes it as "partial 16S rRNA". It matches the Rfam family "Archaeal small subunit ribosomal RNA", at positions 1047 to 1325 of the family's 1478-position model. The record is from RNAcentral.
GAGACCCACGCCAACAGUUGCCAGCAUGUCCUCCGGGAUGGUGGAGACACUGUUGGGACCGCCUCUGCUAAAGAGGAGGAAGGAAUGGGCAACGGUAGGUCAGCAUGCCCCGAAUUAUCCGGGCUACACGCGGGCUACAAUGGUCAGGACAAUGGGUAUCGACACCGAGAGGUGAAGGCAAUCUCUUAAACCUGUCCUUAGUUCGGAUUGUGGGCUGCAACUCGCCCACAUGAAGCUGGAAUCCGUAGUAAUCGCGUCUCAAAAUGGCGCGGUGAAUAU